UGACCGACAGCUGUCAGCUUUUCAAAACAGAGAAAUGACUCCUCAGUUCUGUCAUUGGCCUACAUCGAUGGCAGGAAGAGCCCCGAACGGGAUGCUCACAAAACCCAGGCGAAAACUUUGCUAAAAUGUGAGUUAUGAACUGGGUGGCCAGCUUCUGGCCAUCGGAGGGGGCAGUUCCAUAAUCUGAGCCCCGCUCUAGAGCCGGGGGAGAGCGGGGGGAGGGGGUUGGCCCUGGGGAGAGAUGGCCGAGCCAGCCUUUCCUCCCAGCUCCUCAGGCACCAAAUCCUCUCUGAGACCGUUUGCUUUGCUCAAGGCUGUUUUGUUUCAUUUCCCACUUUCCACUUCAGCGCCAAGGUCAAGGGACCCUAACAUGAAGAUGGCUACGAAGCCUUUCAGCGAGCCUUCCAGAACUCAGCCUUCCUCACCAGACAAAACAGCAGUUUCCCUUAAGAUACGACUGGCCACUGUCUCCUUUUCUUUUUGGAAAGAGGAGAUGACAGCAGGCCUCCCUCACAGCGCCCAGGAGACCACCAGACCAUGCUGGAUCAGACCGGUCCCAGGGGCUGGCCAGGCACAGACAGCCAACAGAUGGACCGCGACUGGCCCCGCCGGGUGGCGGAACCAAAAUCCGCCUCUAGCCGGAACCUCGGUGCGCAGACCCAGCCUCGCAGACAGUGCUCAGGGGCGAGGGGUGCCGGGCGCCUGGAUCCCGCCGGCCAGACCCUGCCGCUCGGAAUUCUUUGUGCUUUCUCCCACCUUCCCCGUCCUACCUUAGGUGGCUAAGUUCCGAGACUGCCCCAUCGAGACUCCUGAAAGAGUAGACUGGGGUCAUCAGGGCAGAAAUGUGGACACGGAGAAGGCCACGUGAACGCAAAGGACGGUCACAUGCACAGCUGCCCUGUUAUUUACGCCGUGUGUCAGUAUAGGACGUGCAUCACGGUGGAUGAGCCGGCGCUGCAUGUUGCUCUUGACCAACGUCUGUGAUUCACGUCAGGGUUCGCUCUCGACGUCGUACAUUCUGUGGGUUGUGUCCGGUGUUCGAAGAGACCACUACAGUGUCCUACACGAUCGUUCCACUGCCCUUAAAACCCUCUGUGCUCCUCCCAGUCAGCCUUCUCUCCUGCAACUGCGAAAGCACGGAAUUUUUAAACUGUCUCCAUCGUGUUUUCUUUCCAGAACGUCAUAGAGCUGGAAUCACAUCAGCUUGCUUCACUGAGUAACAGGCAUUCGAGGUUCCUACACAUCUUUUCACACUUUGAUAGCUCAUCUCUUUUUAGCACCGAAUCCCAUCCCGUUGUCUGGAUGGACCACAGUUUACUAUUCAUCACCGACUGUCAGACAUCUUGGUCGCUUCCAAGUGUUGAUAAUUAAAAACGCAGCUGCUGUAAACAUCCAGGUG
This is a long non-coding RNA of Pteropus alecto (black flying fox), 1399 nucleotides long. RefSeq lists it as uncharacterized. Lineage: Eukaryota; Metazoa; Chordata; Mammalia; Chiroptera; Pteropodidae. The transcript has 3 exons. The record is from RefSeq and is a predicted model, not a curated record.